ACAUUGUUAUUUUCUUUUUCAGUGCAUUCUCUAAUAAAUUGUAUUGGUAUGUUUUAACAAUUUUUGAAAAAUGUAUUUAUUUAUAAUGCUAUUCAUGACUUGGUUUUUUUUUUUAAAGUUAUUAAAAACCGAAUAAUUAAUUAACCUAAAAAUAUCGAGGGAAGGAGGAGGGGAGUGAAUGCCCCCAGUACCUUCUGAAGUUCUAACAAUUUCACUGCUGCUAUUAAG
Molecule: non-coding RNA, 228 nt
Organism: Cinara cedri
Lineage: Eukaryota; Metazoa; Arthropoda; Insecta; Hemiptera; Aphididae
Source: the annotation of a GenBank genome assembly